GGGCCUGUGGUCUAGUGGCUAUGAUCCCGCCUCGACAUGGCGGUGGUCGGGAGUUCGAGUCUCCCCAGGCCCA
Molecule: transfer RNA, 73 nt
Filed under: Nanobdellota archaeon
Lineage: Archaea; Nanobdellati; Nanobdellota
Description: tRNA-Val
Rfam family: tRNA
About the family: Transfer RNA (tRNA) molecules are approximately 80 nucleotides in length. Their secondary structure includes four short double-helical elements and three loops (D, anti-codon, and T loops). Further hydrogen bonds mediate the characteristic L-shaped molecular structure. tRNAs have two regions of fundamental functional importance: the anti-codon, which is responsible for specific mRNA codon recognition, and the 3' end, to which the tRNAs corresponding amino acid is attached (by aminoacyl-tRNA synthetases). tRNAs cope with the degeneracy of the genetic code in two manners: having more than one tRNA (with a specific anti-codon) for a particular amino acid; and 'wobble' base-pairing, i.e. permitting non-standard base-pairing at the 3rd anti-codon position.
Source: RNAcentral